Molecule: non-coding RNA, 28 nt
Filed under: Homo sapiens (human)
Lineage: Eukaryota; Metazoa; Chordata; Mammalia; Primates; Hominidae
Source: RNAcentral
UGGUGUAAGAAGGACAAAGAACUCUAUC